Molecule: microRNA, 21 nt
Filed under: Brachypodium distachyon (stiff brome)
Lineage: Eukaryota; Viridiplantae; Streptophyta; Magnoliopsida; Poales; Poaceae
Description: bdi-miR5281a
Source: miRBase by way of RNAcentral
UCUUAUAAAUAGGAACGGAGG